AUUGAACGCUGGCGGCACGCCUUACACAUGCAAGUCGAACGGCAGCAUAGGAGCUUGCUCCUGAUGGCGAGUGGCGAACGGGUGAGUAAUAUAUCGGAACGUGCCCUAGAGUGGGGGAUAACUAGUCGAAAGACUAGCUAAUACCGCAUACGAUCUACGGAUGAAAGUGGGGGAUCGCAAGACCUCAUGCUCCUGGAGCGGCCGAUAUCUGGUUAGCUAGUUGGUGGGGUAAAAGCUCACCAAGGCGACGAUCAGUAGCUGGUCUGAGAGGACGACCAGCCACACUGGGACUGAGACACGGCCCAGACUCCUACGGGAGGCAGCAGUGGGGAAUUUUGGACAAUGGGGGCAACCCUGAUCCAGCAAUGCCGCGUGAGUGAAGAAGGCCUUCGGGUUGUAAAGCUCUUUUGCCAGGGAAGAAACGGUUCUGGAUAAUACCUGGGACUAAUGACGGUACCUGAAGAAUAAGCACCGGCUAACUACGUGCCAGCCGCCGCCGUAA
Molecule: ribosomal RNA, 502 nt
Filed under: uncultured bacterium
Lineage: Bacteria
Description: partial 16S ribosomal RNA
Rfam family: Bacterial small subunit ribosomal RNA
Source: RNAcentral